UAGUUAGUUGGUGGGUAAAGGCCUACCAAGACAAUGAUGCAUAGCCGAGUUGAGAGACUGAUCGGCCACAUUGGGACUGAGACACGGCCCAAACUCCUACGGGAGGCUGCAGUAGGAAUCUUCCACAAUGGGCGAAAGCCUGAUGGAGCAACGCCGCGUGUGUGAUGAAGGCUUUCGGGUCGUAAAGCACUGUUGUAUGGGAAGAAAAGUUAAGGUAGGGAAUGACCUUAGCCUGACGGUACCAUACCAGAAAGGGACGGCUAAAUACGUGCCAGCAGCCGCGGUAAUACGUAUGUCCCGAGCGUUAUCCGGAUUUAUUGGGCGUAAAGCGAGCGCAGACGGUUGGUUAAGUCUGAUGUGAAAGCCCGGAGCUCAACUCCGGAAAGGCAUUGGAAACUGGUUAACUUGAGUGCAGUAGAGGUAAGUGGAACUCCAUGUGUAGCGGUGGAAUGCGUAGAUAUAUGGAAGAACACCAGCGGCGAAGGCGGCUUACUGGACUGUAACUGACGUUGAGGCUCGAAAGUGUGGGUAGCAAACAGGAUUAGAUACCCUGGUAGUCCACACCGUAAACGAUGAACACUAGGUGUUAGGAGGUUUCCGCCUCUUAGUGCCGAAGCUAACGCAUUAAGUGUUCCGCCUGGGGAGUACGACCGCAAGGUUGAAACUCAAAGGAAUUGACGGGGACCCGCACAAGCGGUGGAGCAUGUGGUUUAAUUCGAAGCAACGCGAAGAACCUUACCAGGUCUUGACAUCCUUUGAAGCUUUUAGAAAUAGAAGUGUUCUCUUCGGAGACAAAGUGACAGGUGGUGCAUGGUCGUCGUCAGCUCGUGUCGUGAGAUGUUGGGUUAAGUCCCGCAACGAGCGCAACCCUUAUUGUUAGUUGCCAGCAUUCAGAUGGGCACUCUAGCGAGACUGCCGGUGACAAACCGGAGGAAGGCGGGGACGACGUCAGAUCAUCAUGCCCCUUAUGACCUGGGCUACACACGUGCUACAAUGGCGUAUACAACGAGUUGCCAACCUGCGAAGGUGAGCUAAUCUCUUAAAGUACGUCUCAGUUCGGACUGCAGUCUGCAACUCGACUGCACGAAGUCGGAAUCGCUAGUAAUCGCGGAUCAGCACGCCGCGGUGAAUACGUUCCCGGGUCUUGUACACACCGCCCGUCACACCAUGGAAGUUUGUAAUGCCCAAAGCCGGUGGCCUAACCGUAAGGAGGAACCGUCUAAGGCAGA
RNAcentral lists this ribosomal RNA (1229 nucleotides) under Leuconostoc carnosum. RNAcentral describes it as "bacterial SSU rRNA". It matches the Rfam family "Bacterial small subunit ribosomal RNA", at positions 242 to 1466 of the family's 1533-position model. The record is from RNAcentral. Lineage: Bacteria; Bacillati; Bacillota; Bacilli; Lactobacillales; Lactobacillaceae.